Long non-coding RNA from Suricata suricatta (meerkat), 1284 nucleotides. RefSeq lists it as uncharacterized. The record is from RefSeq and is a predicted model, not a curated record. The transcript is spliced from 3 exons. Lineage: Eukaryota; Metazoa; Chordata; Mammalia; Carnivora; Herpestidae.
UCCAAGAAGGGAUGGCAGCGGUGGGGCACCAACAGACGCUCUCACUGCCAUAGCCACCACUGUGACUCCUGGAACCGGAGCACCAGCCUGGCCUCCACGGAUGUAAGAUGCAGCAAGUCAAGGCACUCAAGAUGUCAUUACCUGAGACCAAGACAGGCCCUCAACCGGCAACUGGUAUUGGCAAGAAGACAGGCCAUGUGGAGAUGAAGGGAGGACUAAGCAAUGGGCCAAAGGCCAUGAGUGCCCAGGGGUCCCAGCAGCUGGGAGAGGCAAGGGCUCGGCCCUGGAGCAGUGGGAGAGCAACCCCUUGGGCCUGGACUCUGGGCUACAACUUUGUGGGGGUGCACUGCUGCUGACACUGAAUGACCUGAGUGGCCCUCUGCACUCAUUGGUGUCUUUAAAUGAGGAGGACAGAUUCAGAGACACUCGAGGUGCCACAGUAGCCUGCCAUCACAGACUUGAAGGCCAGAAGUGAGAGCAUGAGACAUGAACUCUGUCAAUGCCCCAAUUGAGCGGAGAUGUGCUGUUCUUGCCAGAACCUCCCAGAAUGCAUGAGACCCUGCCACACAGACACUGUGUCGUGGGGUGGGAAGCACAGGCCUGUGUCACUGAUGGGAUCUCUCCCCCGUGGAGACUGAGACGGUAAACGCAUUGGGAAACCCCUGCCUGUGCUCAUCUGCCAUGAGGCAGUAGGGUCCGAGGGCCAGGGGUGCACUCUGUGUGUGUGUGUACGUGUCCCAGGGCAGGGCUGUCCUCUACAUGACUCUGCACAGACUCAGAAGGAACAGGUAGCUCGGGAAACCCAAGACUAUUGGGGGUCAUGAAAAGGAGGCUCGGACUCUGCUUCCCACAUGUUCUCCAACUGACACACAGAAUAAAUGAGCUCCACUGUUUGCCUACUGGCCCUGGUGUGAGUCGUCCGGAGGGAGAGAAGAAUCACUGCGUUUCCCCGAACACAUUAAAGUGCAAACGGUACUUGAAUAACUUACACGUUACUGGUAAGUGAAACAGCAUUAUUUUUUAUCGUGUUGUCACAUUAUUUUAAAAUAUCCCAUCAGAGACCAAUCACUUUUUCAAAGUAAUUGGACUUAAGAGCAAGUAGCCAUUUUCAUUCAGAGGAAACAACUCCAGCAAGCUUACAGCCUACCUGUGUGAGGGGGACUUCAGGUCGUCUUUGGCUGGCUGUGGGGUAAACGGGAAAGAGGAAGAAUUGUUGGUGCCGAGGCUAUUCUUCGGACAUCAGGUCCAUCAUUAGUCAGUUUCGGGUGAGCGCGUCUCAGAGAC